CAGGGAUGAUCGAAGGAUUGAAUUGCAUGAAACUUGCCACUGAAGGAUAUAUUUGAUAUUUUUAUCAAAUUUUAUAUCUUCUGGAUAGUCAUGAUAUGCUUCUAGAUAUCAAUCUUAACUUGUAGAUUUUUGAUCAAAUUAAAGAGUUUAAUUCGAUUGCCAAUUAGAAGGGAUUCUAAUUGUGGAGCUCGGAUUAGCUCGAUU
This 204-nucleotide long non-coding RNA is filed under the name Elaeis guineensis (African oil palm). RNAcentral describes it as "long non-coding RNA (EGUI_LNC042898)". The record is from RNAcentral. Lineage: Eukaryota; Viridiplantae; Streptophyta; Magnoliopsida; Arecales; Arecaceae.